ACCAGACUCCUACGGGAGGCAGCAGUGGGGGAUAUUGCACAAUGGGGGGAACCCUGAUGCAGCGACGCCGCGUGGGUGAAGAAGCGCCUCGGCGCGUAAAGCCCUGUCAGCAGGGAAGAAAAUGACGGUACCUGAAGAAGAAGCCCCGGCUAACUACGUGCCAGCAGCCGCGGUAAUACGUAGGGGGCAAGCGUUAUCCGGAUUUACUGGGUGUAAAGGGGGCGCAGACGGCGAUGCAAGCCAGGAGUGAAAGCCCGGGGCCCAACCCCGGGACUGCUCUUGGAACUGCGUGGCUGGAGUGCAGGAGGGGCAGGCGGAAUUCCUGGUGUAGCGGUGAAAUGCGUAGAUAUCAGGAGGAACACCGGUGGCGAAGGCGGCCUGCUGGACUGCGACUGACGUUGAGGCCCGAAAGCGUGGGGAGCAAACAGGAUUAGAUACCCCUGUACAG
This 448-nucleotide ribosomal RNA is filed under the name uncultured bacterium. RNAcentral's name for it is "partial 16S ribosomal RNA". It matches the Rfam family "Bacterial small subunit ribosomal RNA", at positions 330 to 793 of the family's 1533-position model. The record is from RNAcentral.